This 201-nucleotide long non-coding RNA is filed under the name Lathyrus oleraceus (garden pea). RNAcentral describes it as "Pisum sativum (pea) long non-coding RNA (PSAT_LNC027607)". Lineage: Eukaryota; Viridiplantae; Streptophyta; Magnoliopsida; Fabales; Fabaceae. The record is from RNAcentral.
CCAAUUGUAGAGCCUACCCAUGGGGUUCCAUUAAUCAGAGAUACCUGUCGUUUACCCGUUAUGCUGAUCCAUCUGAGAACACUUUGAACCUGUGAUCCUAAACAUGUCACUACCUUCAUACACAUAUCAUUGCAUUUUCAUUCAUCAUCAUACAUUUCAUAUCAUUUUCCACACAAAAAUAAAUACAAAAAAACUCAUCCA